UACUAUUGUUUCCAUUUGUAAUGAAGAAAUCAAAGCUGAAGAGGUUAAGUGACUUACUCAAGAUAACAUGGCAGAAAAGUUUAUAUCAGUCCAAUUCUGCUGCUAACUGGACUUCGUCUCUGGCUUCUUCAUUUGGAAAUCUACCUCUUAUGCUAAGUGCCCUUAUAUCACCUGGCGGUUUGCAAAGAGAUUAUUUCUUCAUUACAAGCAGAGUAAAAGGCCUCCUCAAUGCUAAGAGGUGCACUUUCUACUACAACCAAGUGAUCAAAUUUUGCAUCACUCAUAAUGAGACCAACUGAAAUAAUACACCUCUGGAUGACAAAAGAAAGCAUAGAAUAUUACUCAUGUCCUUUUCUUGCCAUAAUGUUUAAUCUUAAUCUAAUCCUGAGGAAACAAUCACAAAGUUCCAACUGGGAACCCUUCUCCAUGGCCUGGGAUCUUCAAGAACGUCAACGUGAUAAAAGUAAAAAAUGUGAGGAAAAUGUUCUAAUUAAAAGAAGCGAGAGAUUGCAUAGUAAACACAAUGUUGGUUUGAUAUUUUAAAACUCAG
RNAcentral lists this long non-coding RNA (550 nucleotides) under Homo sapiens (human). RNAcentral's name for it is "HSALNT0309996". Lineage: Eukaryota; Metazoa; Chordata; Mammalia; Primates; Hominidae. The record is from RNAcentral.